GACGAACGCUGGCGGCGUGCUUAACACAUGCAAGUCGAACGGAAAGGCCCUGCUUGCAGGGUGCUCGAGUGUCGAACGGGUGAGUAACACGUGGGUGAUCUGCCCCUUACUUUGGGAUAAGCCUGGGAAACUGGGUCUAAUACUGGAUAGGACCAUGCUGUAGGUGGUGUGGUGGAAAGAUUAGUUUCGGUAAGGGAUGAGCUCGCGGCCUAUCAGCUUGUUGGUGGGGUAAUGGCCUACCAAGGCGUCGACGGGUAGCCGGCCUGAGAGGGUGGACGGCCACAUUGGGACUGCGAUGCGGCCCAGACUCCUACGGGAGGCAGCAGUGGGGAAUAUUGCACAGUGGGCGCAAGCCUGAUGCAGCGACGCCGCGUGGGGGAUGACGGCCUUCGGGUGGUAAACUCCUGUCAGCCAUGACGAAGCCCUUGUGGUGACGGUAGUGGUAGAAGAAGCACCGGCUAACUACGUG
Molecule: ribosomal RNA, 469 nt
Filed under: uncultured bacterium
Lineage: Bacteria
Description: partial 16S ribosomal RNA
Rfam family: Bacterial small subunit ribosomal RNA
Source: RNAcentral